UUUUGUCUUCUUAUAU
Molecule: small RNA, 16 nt
Filed under: Arabidopsis thaliana (thale cress)
Lineage: Eukaryota; Viridiplantae; Streptophyta; Magnoliopsida; Brassicales; Brassicaceae
Description: ATSL012590
Source: RNAcentral